Molecule: ribosomal RNA, 253 nt
Filed under: uncultured bacterium
Lineage: Bacteria
Description: partial 16S ribosomal RNA
Rfam family: Bacterial small subunit ribosomal RNA
Source: RNAcentral
UACAGAGGUCUCAAGCGUUGUUCGGAUUCAUUGGGCGUAAAGGGUGCGUAGGCGGUCGGGUAAGUCUGAUGUGAAAUCUCCAAGCCUAACUUGGAAACUGCAUUGGAUACUAUCCGGCUCGAGGAAUGGAGGGGAGACUGGAAUACUUGGUGUAGCAGUGAAAUGCGUAGAUAUCAAGUGGAACACCAGUGGCGAAGGCGAGUCUCUGGACAUUUCCUGACGCUGAGGCACGAAAGCCAGGGGAGCAAACGGG